RNAcentral lists this transfer RNA (70 nucleotides) under Ictidomys tridecemlineatus (thirteen-lined ground squirrel). RNAcentral's name for it is "Spermophilus tridecemlineatus (thirteen-lined ground squirrel) tRNA". It matches the Rfam family "tRNA". From Rfam's summary of the family: Transfer RNA (tRNA) molecules are approximately 80 nucleotides in length. The record is from Rfam by way of RNAcentral. Lineage: Eukaryota; Metazoa; Chordata; Mammalia; Rodentia; Sciuridae. RNAcentral also lists the same sequence under 1 other name.
GGGGUUGUGGCUUAGUGGUACAGCACUUGCCUCACAUGCAUGGGACACUGGGUUGGAUUCCUCAGCACCA